Brachypodium distachyon (stiff brome) is the source of this 1454-nucleotide long non-coding RNA. RefSeq lists it as uncharacterized. The transcript is spliced from 4 exons. Lineage: Eukaryota; Viridiplantae; Streptophyta; Magnoliopsida; Poales; Poaceae. The record is from RefSeq and is a predicted model, not a curated record.
CUGGCAGCAUUAAUCGCGUUGUGGAAUCGGGCAGCGGCACGCCUCAUUUGCAAAUUGUCCUUGUCCCUCAAACCCGAGAGCCGUCCUAGUCCAACCGCCUCCCUUCUCCGACGCCCUUCUCGCCGCUGCGCCGCCGAUCCUCCUCUCAGGCCGCGGCCUUCUCCCAGCAAGACCCCGCUAUCGUCGGCUGUCUGCCCAUGCUCACAGAGUCUAUUCCGCGCCGCAGGCGCUGCAUGCCCUCGCUCAGGCUCUUCCCCUCCGAGUCUCGUCCUCCUUCUCUCCAGUCUCCCUCCUUCCUCCAGCGCGCACGCCGCCGGUCCCCGGUCCCCGUUAGUCCUCCUCCAUCUCCUUUUCUCCCUGCCGAGCCUUCAUCCGUCGGCUUAUCGGAUGGCAGUGGCGCGCAGUUACCAGGGCGAUUUGAAGAGGUGCCACCUUAUCCCGUUGAGCCGUCGCCUCCUCCUCCCACUGCACGGAUCCGCUCACAACGCCGUCGUCCCUGCAUCUGUUGAGGCGUCGCCACUCGUACGGAAUCAGUCGUACACACAAGUGGUAUGUGGAGCCGCUCGACAUGUGUUCGACGAAAUGCCAGCUUUUGUAGCGGAUCUCCUGCUACUUUGUCAAGCGUUGCGGAGAGGAUACGAUGGAUUUGCUGCGGUGGCAUGACUCUGGCCAUGACUAGGGCCCAGCUCCGCAGGCCGAAACCCUCAGUUGAUCAGCACGACCUUGGCAGAAUAGGCGUAGCCAGCUCAACACCUCUGGGGACGUGCAACGGCACCUCCGUUGACCUGGCAGCGCCUACACGGAAUGGCAGUUUGGUUUGUUGACCUAGCUGGGAACACUGGUACUACGUGUGUAUAAUGAAGAUGUUUUCUCCACUGUAUAGGUAUUCAAGGAUUGAGGCUCGUCCCUAGAUGGUGGGUACAACUCCAAGGAGCAAGGGUUGGCUGGCCAUCUCACCAGGGCUGAGAGGGACACUAGCUUGGGGUUUAGGAUUCGAUCUUUACCUGUUUAUUCUCAUUUCUUGCAUAAUCCAUAUGGGGUUUAUAGUGUCCCUUCUUUAGGGAAGACUCGACUUGUCUCAUGUCCCCCUGCUCACCAGCAAAAUUGUUCAGCCGAACGUAAGCAUCGACACAUUGUUGAUGUAGGUCUCUCGCUACUCGCCCAAGCUUCCAUGCCCUUGAAGUUUGGCGAUCAGGCCUUUGUGGCAGCCAUCUACCUCAUGAAUUGUCUCCUUAGCCGUGUCAUCCAUAACACCACUCCGAUUGACUGUCUCCUCAAAGAAAAAACCGAUUAUGGCUUUCUCAAAGUGCUCUAGUGUGCAUGUUCGCCUAAUUUACGCCCCUAUAACUCUCAGAAACUUGCAUUUCAUUCUACUCGGUGUACCUUGGGUAUAGUACGUUCCACAAAGGCUACAAGUGCCUUGAUAUUUCUACGGAUCAAGUUUAUAUUUCUCA